This 1147-nucleotide ribosomal RNA is filed under the name Rhodotorula mucilaginosa. Its description in RNAcentral is "eukaryotic LSU rRNA". The stretch from base 541 to 1147 matches the Rfam family "Eukaryotic large subunit ribosomal RNA", at positions 1 to 628 of the family's 3401-position model. The record is from RNAcentral. Lineage: Eukaryota; Fungi; Basidiomycota; Microbotryomycetes; Sporidiobolales; Sporidiobolaceae.
GAGGAUCAUUAGUGAAUAUAGGACGUCCAACUUAACUUGGAGUCCGAACUCUCACUUUCUAACCCUGUGCACUUGUUUGGGAUAGUAACUCUCGCAAGAGAGCGAACUCCUAUUCACUUAUAAACACAAAGUCUAUGAAUGUAUUAAAUUUUAUAACAAAAUAAAACUUUCAACAACGGAUCUCUUGGCUCUCGCAUCGAUGAAGAACGCAGCGAAAUGCGAUAAGUAAUGUGAAUUGCAGAAUUCAGUGAAUCAUCGAAUCUUUGAACGCACCUUGCGCUCCAUGGUAUUCCGUGGAGCAUGCCUGUUUGAGUGUCAUGAAUACUUCAACCCUCCUCUUUCUUAAUGAUUGAAGAGGUGUUUGGUUUCUGAGCGCUGCUGGCCUUUACGGUCUAGCUCGUUCGUAAUGCAUUAGCAUCCGCAAUCGAACUUCGGAUUGACUUGGCGUAAUAGACUAUUCGCUGAGGAAUUCUAGUCUUCGGAUUAGAGCCGGGUUGGGUUAAAGGAAGCUUCUAAUCAGAAUGUCUACAUUUUAAGAUUAGAUCUCAAAUCAGGUAGGACUACCCGCUGAACUUAAGCAUAUCAAUAAGCGGAGGAAAAGAAACUAACAAGGAUUCCCCUAGUAGCGGCGAGCGAAGCGGGAAGAGCUCAAAUUUAUAAUCUGGCACCUUCGGUGUCCGAGUUGUAAUCUCUAGAAAUGUUUUCCGCGUUGGACCGCACACAAGUCUGUUGGAAUACAGCGGCAUAGUGGUGAGACCCCCGUAUAUGGUGCGGACGCCCAGCGCUUUGUGAUACAUUUUCGAAGAGUCGAGUUGUUUGGGAAUGCAGCUCAAAUUGGGUGGUAAAUUCCAUCUAAAGCUAAAUAUUGGCGAGAGACCGAUAGCGAACAAGUACCGUGAGGGAAAGAUGAAAAGCACUUUGGAAAGAGAGUUAACAGUACGUGAAAUUGUUGGAAGGGAAACGCUUGAAGUCAGACUUGCUUGCCGAGCAAUCGGUUUGCAGGCCAGCAUCAGUUUUCCGGGAUGGAUAAUGGUAGAGAGAAGGUAGCAGUUUCGGCUGUGUUAUAGCUCUCUGCUGGAUACAUCUUGGGGGACUGAGGAACGCAGUGUGCCUUUGGCGGGGGUUUCGACCUCUUCACACUUAGGAU